UUUCUUGCAAGACAUAAUCUGGAAAUCCUACGUCAUGAAAGGACUUUAUAGGCUUGGGCACAUCACGGCCCUCAAUAGUGAUCUCCCGUCGUCGUCUAUACUCUUCCACCUCACCUUCAGUCAUUGCUGCUAUGGAUGGUGAUUCAACAUAGAAAUUCUUCUCAAAUGGAGGCAAAUCAUCCAAAUUAACCUUCCGUGGCGACUCCUUACCCUCGGAAUCUCUCCUGCUCGAUGAUGAUGACCUAUAAUUUGAGCCCCCACCGAAGACUGAAUCACUGCGACGGUCACGGUAAGAGCCAGGGUCCGCCGGACGGCUAUCGUAGCGACUCAUAUUCCGGCAAACUCGUCGGAGGUAUUAGACUAGAGUGUAUUACAGGAAGCUUCUAGAAAGAAAAUGGUGGUUUUCUCUGCCAAAGAAG
Molecule: unclassified non-coding RNA, 419 nt
Filed under: Hevea brasiliensis (rubber tree)
Lineage: Eukaryota; Viridiplantae; Streptophyta; Magnoliopsida; Malpighiales; Euphorbiaceae
Source: RNAcentral